CCUACGGGAGGCAGCAGUGAGGAAUAUUGGUCAAUGGCCGGGAGGCUGAACCAGCCAAGUCGCGUGAGGGAAGACGGCCCUACGGGUUGUAAACCUCUUUUGUCAGGGAGCAAGGUGCAGGUCGGGACCAGCUGUGAGAGUACCUGAAGAAAAAGCACCGGCUAACUCCGUGCCAGCAGCCGCGGUAAUACGGAGGAUGCGAGCGUUAUCCGGAUUUAUUGGGCUGAAAGGGUGCGAAGGCGGGGGCACAAGUCAGCGGUAAAAUCGCGGGGCUCAACCCCGCCCCGCCGUUGAAACUGUGUGCCUUGAGUGCGCGACGGGUAGGCGGAAUGCGUGGUGUAGCGGUGAAAUGCAUAGAUAUCACGCAGAACUCCGAUCGCGAAGGCAGCCUACCGGCGCGCAACUGACGCUGAUGCACGAAAGCGUGGGUAUCGAACAGGAUUAGAUACCCUUGUAGUC
This 459-nucleotide ribosomal RNA is filed under the name uncultured bacterium. Its description in RNAcentral is "partial 16S ribosomal RNA". It matches the Rfam family "Bacterial small subunit ribosomal RNA", at positions 338 to 795 of the family's 1533-position model. The record is from RNAcentral.